AUUGAACGCUGGCGGCAGGCCUAACACAUGCAAGUCGAGCGGAUGAAGGGAGCUUGCUCCUGGAUUCAGCGGCGGACGGGUGAGUAAUGCCUAGGAAUCUGCCUGGUAGUGGGGGAUAACGUCCGGAAACGGGCGCUAAUACCGCAUACGUCCUGCGGGUGAAAGUGGGGGAUCUUCGGACCUCACGCUAUCAUAUGAGCCUAGGCCGGAUUAGCUAGUUGGUGGGGUAAAGGCCUACCAAGGCGACGAUCGGUAACUGGACUGAGAGGAUGAUCAGUCACACGGGAACUGAGACACGCUCCAGACGCCUACGGGAGGCAGCAGUCGGGAAUAUUAGACAACGGGGGAAAGUCUGAUCCAGUCAGGCGGCGUGUGAGAAGAAGGUCUUCGGAUUGUAAAGCACUUUAAGUUGGGGGGAAGGGCAGUAAGUUGAGACCUUGCUGUUUUGACGUUACCAACAGAAGAAGCACCGGCUAACUUCGUG
RNAcentral lists this ribosomal RNA (484 nucleotides) under uncultured bacterium. RNAcentral describes it as "partial 16S ribosomal RNA". It matches the Rfam family "Bacterial small subunit ribosomal RNA", at positions 30 to 507 of the family's 1533-position model. The record is from RNAcentral.